RNAcentral lists this ribosomal RNA (253 nucleotides) under uncultured bacterium. Its description in RNAcentral is "partial 16S ribosomal RNA". It matches the Rfam family "Bacterial small subunit ribosomal RNA", at positions 524 to 776 of the family's 1533-position model. The record is from RNAcentral.
UACGUAGGGCGCAAGCGUUAUCCGGAAUUAUUGGGCGUAAAGAGCUCGUAGGCGGUUUGUCGCGUCUGCCGUGAAAGUCCGGGGCUCAACUCCGGAUCUGCGGUGGGUACGGGCAGACUAGAGUGAUGUAGGGGAGACUGGAAUUCCUGGUGUAGCGGUGAAAUGUGCAGAUAUCAGGAGGAACACCGGUGGCGAAGGCGGGUCUCUGGGCAACAACUGACGCUGAGGAGCGAAAGCGUGGGGAGCGAACAGG